GACGAACGCUGGCGGCGUGCUUAACACAUGCAAGUCGAACGGAAAGGCCCUGCUUUUGUGGGGUGCUCGAGUGGCGAACGGGUGAGUAACACGUGAGUAACCUGCCCUGGACUUUGGGAUAACUUCAGGAAACUGGGGCUAAUACCGGAUAGGAGCUCCUGCUGCAUGGUGGGGGGUGGAAAGUUUCGGCGGGUGGGGAUGGGCUCGAGGCUUAUCAGCUUGUUGGUGGGGUAGUGGCUUACCAAGGCUUUGACGGGUAGCCGGCCUGAGAGGGUGACCGGCCACAUUGGGACUGGGGUACGGCCCAGACUCCUACGGGAGGCAGCGGUGAGGAAUAUUGGCCAAUGGGCGGAAGCCGGAUGCAGCAACGCCGCGUGCGGGAUGACGGCCUUCGGGUUGUAAACCGCUUUCGCCUGUGACGAAGCGUGAGUGACGGUAAUGGGUAAAGAAGCACCGGCUAACUACGUG
Molecule: ribosomal RNA, 468 nt
Filed under: uncultured bacterium
Lineage: Bacteria
Description: partial 16S ribosomal RNA
Rfam family: Bacterial small subunit ribosomal RNA
Source: RNAcentral